Sinocyclocheilus anshuiensis is the source of this 348-nucleotide long non-coding RNA. RefSeq lists it as uncharacterized. The transcript has 3 exons. The record is from RefSeq and is a predicted model, not a curated record. NCBI's taxonomy places the organism in Eukaryota, Metazoa, Chordata, Actinopteri, Cypriniformes, Cyprinidae.
AAUAACCGUCGUUUAUUUGAAAAAAUGGCGGCGCCGGCAGAUCUGCACACAAGUGGAGAUGUGGUGUUUAAAUAUUUCUGGAGAAAAUGGACCUGUCCAGUAAAAUAACACCAGCACAAGCAAAGAAAAAGUGGGACAAAUAAAAAAAAAAAAGUAUAAGGGGUACCCACCAUCGCCGAGGAGGAAAAAGCCCUGAGGUGGAUACUUUGCCUGUUUGUAAAUGGGGCUGUUCUUAAGCACCCGUGAGUUGUGGACACUCCCGGGGUACCCUACAAAAAUGUCUAAAAAUGCCCCUUGAUGGUCGCAUAUCCCUUGAAGCAGGAUGGAGGCAAACGGCUUUCUGUUUUU